UAACUUCGGAGUUGUUUGGCAACUUCUGAAUAGGUAAGUGCUAAACCAAUAAGAGGUCUGAACCUUUAAGAGCCAGUAUAAUGCUUAACCAUUCAGAGGCAAAUGUCUGACCAAUUCAGAUAAGAGAUCUUAACCAUUCAGACUCAGUAUAAUGCUUAACCAUUCAGAGCCAAAUGUUUGAAGCAUUCAGAUAUUUGCUUGCGAAACAAAAAGGAAACAAACAGUCUAAAAUCAUUAAGUGUCUGUACCAUUAAGAGCAUGUUAGGAACUGAAACAAACAACCCCGAAUUCUUAAAGAUUCUCAUAACCCUAAAUUUAUAUCUUUAUAUUGGGCAGUGAAAUUGAAUUUUAGCAGUGGCGAAGCUUGAUCCGAAUUACGGGGGGUCGA
RNAcentral lists this long non-coding RNA (388 nucleotides) under Helianthus annuus (common sunflower). RNAcentral's name for it is "sRNA HanXRQr2_Chr06g0247291". Lineage: Eukaryota; Viridiplantae; Streptophyta; Magnoliopsida; Asterales; Asteraceae. The record is from RNAcentral.